UCUUAAUAUUAAAUGCGUGUAUUUACAAGUUAUUUAACAAUUUUAAAAUUAUGGUUAUUGACGAGCCUUGGGAAGGCCACACAUAUAAAUAAUAGAUCCUUGACCUUACUGUUGCCAGGACGAGUUCAUUGCUCGGAGGAAGACACCUUGUUAGGCUAAUAAAGCCGAAAGAGCAUCGAAAAAUUUACCACGAUCUUCACUCUUCACUUCGACAACU
Non-coding RNA from Paramuricea clavata, 217 nucleotides. Lineage: Eukaryota; Metazoa; Cnidaria; Anthozoa; Malacalcyonacea; Plexauridae. The record is from the annotation of a GenBank genome assembly.